UGGAACGGCUGCCCACACCCACUAGGAUCAGACUCACUGGCUGGGACGCUGCAGCUGCCUCAUCUCCCUGUCUCCGCAGGUUAGAUGCAACUCCUGCAACAGGAACAAGGUGGAGAGAUGUAUAUGAUGGAGAGUGUCUGUCCAAUGUGUCUGACUGUAUAAAUGCGCACAGAUGAUGGUGUGACAGAGAGAUUUUAUCAGAAAGAGGUUGGGCCAGUGACAUUACUCACAUGUGACACCUUGAAUGAAUUAUGCAGACUACACUAAAUGUAUGGUGUUAAUUUUUAUAUCUAUUAUAUAUUCUGUGUAUUACAUACAUUACAGAAAUAUUUUGAGAUGA
This is a long non-coding RNA of Alligator mississippiensis (American alligator), 340 nucleotides long. RefSeq lists it as uncharacterized. The record is from RefSeq and is a predicted model, not a curated record. The transcript has 2 exons. Lineage: Eukaryota; Metazoa; Chordata; Crocodylia; Alligatoridae.